RNAcentral lists this ribosomal RNA (468 nucleotides) under uncultured bacterium. RNAcentral's name for it is "partial 16S ribosomal RNA". It matches the Rfam family "Bacterial small subunit ribosomal RNA", at positions 28 to 507 of the family's 1533-position model. The record is from RNAcentral.
GACGAACGCUGGCGGCGUGCUUAACACAUGCAAGUCGAACGGAAAGGCCCUGCUUUUGUGGGGUGCUCGAGUGGCGAACGGGUGAGUAACACGUGAGUAACCUGCCCUUGACUUUGGGAUAACUUCAGGAAACUGGGGCUAAUACCGGAUAGGAGCUCCUGCUGCAUGGUGGGGGUUGGAAAGUUUCGGCGGUUGGGGAUGGACUCGCGGCUUAUCAGCUUGUUGGUGGGGUAGUGGCUUACCAAGGCUUUGACGGGUAGCCGGCCUGAGAGGGUGACCGGCCACAGUGGGACUGAGAUAGGGCCCAGACUGCUACGGGAGGCAGCAGUGGGGAAUAGUGCGCAAUGGGCGGAAGCCUGAUGCAGCGACGCCGCGUGCGGGAUGACGGCUGUCGGGUUGUAAACCGCUUUCGCCUGUGACGAAGAGUGAGUGACGGUAAUGGGUAAAGAAGCACCGGCUAACUACGUG